GGCGAGGUAGCUCAGCUGGUAGAGCACUCGGCUGAAAACCGGGGUGUCGCCGGUUCGAGUCCGGCCCUCGCCA
RNAcentral lists this transfer RNA (73 nucleotides) under Psychrobacter sp. Its description in RNAcentral is "tRNA-Phe". It matches the Rfam family "tRNA". Rfam says of the family: Transfer RNA (tRNA) molecules are approximately 80 nucleotides in length. Their secondary structure includes four short double-helical elements and three loops (D, anti-codon, and T loops). Further hydrogen bonds mediate the characteristic L-shaped molecular structure. tRNAs have two regions of fundamental functional importance: the anti-codon, which is responsible for specific mRNA codon recognition, and the 3' end, to which the tRNAs corresponding amino acid is attached (by aminoacyl-tRNA synthetases). tRNAs cope with the degeneracy of the genetic code in two manners: having more than one tRNA (with a specific anti-codon) for a particular amino acid; and 'wobble' base-pairing, i.e. permitting non-standard base-pairing at the 3rd anti-codon position. RNAcentral also lists the same sequence under 9 other names. The record is from RNAcentral. Lineage: Bacteria; Pseudomonadati; Pseudomonadota; Gammaproteobacteria; Moraxellales; Moraxellaceae.